UCCCCGUUUAACCUCACCAUUUUUAGCCAUAUCAGUCUGUAUACCUCCGUCGCCAAUUUACCACGUGAGCGUUUAAUAGUAAGUGGAAUGUCUUAUUACUCGAUCAUAGGUCAGGUCAAGGUGCAGCAAAUAAAAUGGGAAGAGAUGGGCUACACUCUCUAAUUUAGAACACACGGAAAACUCGCUAUGAAAAGAGUUUGAAGGCGGAUUUAGAAGUAAGAGGAGCUCAGAGAACCCCUCUUAAACCGGCACUGGGGUGUGUACACACCGCCCGUCACCCUCUUCGCAGCCCUUAAAUAGUGUUUUACAACCCAAUGCACAGUAGAAGAGGCAAGUCGUAACAUGGUAAGUAUACCGGAAGGUGUGCUUGGAAA
Molecule: ribosomal RNA, 374 nt
Filed under: Bokermannohyla caramaschii
Lineage: Eukaryota; Metazoa; Chordata; Amphibia; Anura; Hylidae
Description: partial small subunit ribosomal RNA
Rfam family: Bacterial small subunit ribosomal RNA
Source: RNAcentral